GAGUUUGAUCUUGGCUCAGGAUGAACGCUGGCGGCGUGCCUAAUACAUGCAAGUCGAGCGGCAGCGCGGUCUUCGGACUGGCGGCGAGCGGCGGACGGCUGAGUAACACGUAGGAACGUACCCCAACUAGAGGGAGUAACUGCUCGAAAGAGUAGCUAAUACCGCAUGUGGCCCACGGGCUAAAGCUUCGGCGGUUUGGGAACGGCCUGCGUCCGAUUAGCUAGUUGGUAAGGUAAUGGCUUACCAAGGCGACGAUCGGUAGCUGGUCUGAGAGGAUGACCAGCCAGACUGGGACUGAGAACGGCCCAGACUCCUACGGGAGGCAGCAGUAGGGAAUUUUCCACAAUGGGGGCGAACCCUGAUGGAGCAACGCCGCGUGCAGGAUGAAUGCUUUCGGGUUGUAAACUGCUUUUAUUCUGUGACGAAUAUGACGGUAGCAGAUGAAUAAGGAUCGGCUAACUCCGUGCCAGCCG
This 473-nucleotide ribosomal RNA is filed under the name uncultured bacterium. RNAcentral's name for it is "bacterial SSU rRNA". It matches the Rfam family "Bacterial small subunit ribosomal RNA", at positions 9 to 514 of the family's 1533-position model. The record is from RNAcentral.